Molecule: transfer RNA, 62 nt
Filed under: Cricetulus griseus (Chinese hamster)
Lineage: Eukaryota; Metazoa; Chordata; Mammalia; Rodentia; Cricetidae
Rfam family: tRNA
About the family: Transfer RNA (tRNA) molecules are approximately 80 nucleotides in length. Their secondary structure includes four short double-helical elements and three loops (D, anti-codon, and T loops).
Source: Rfam by way of RNAcentral
UGUAAUUCAGUUGGUAGAAUGCUUGUCUAAUGUAUAAGAUGCCCUGAGUUUAAUCCCCAGCA